AAGUCGUAACAAGGUUUCCGUAGGUGAACCUGCGGAAGGAUCAUUAUCGAGUUUUGAACGGGUUGUAGCUGGCCUUUAACGAGGCAUGUGCACACCUGGCUCAUCCACUCUCAACCUCUGUGCACUUUAUGUAAGAAACGGUGUAAGCCAGCUAUUUAAUAGUUGGUAACAAGCCUUUCUUAUGUUUACUACAAACGCUUCAGUUAUAGAAUGUUUACUGUGUACAACACAAUUAUAUACAACUUUCAGCAACGGAUCUCUUGGCUCUC
Molecule: unclassified non-coding RNA, 269 nt
Filed under: Irpex laceratus
Lineage: Eukaryota; Fungi; Basidiomycota; Agaricomycetes; Polyporales; Irpicaceae
Description: Emmia lacerata partial internal transcribed spacer region
Rfam family: Eukaryotic small subunit ribosomal RNA (bases 1-46)
Source: RNAcentral